This 94-nucleotide long non-coding RNA is filed under the name Phasianus colchicus (ring-necked pheasant). RNAcentral's name for it is "lncRNA (ENSPCLG00000003037.1)". Lineage: Eukaryota; Metazoa; Chordata; Aves; Galliformes; Phasianidae. The record is from RNAcentral.
GAGGAUGAGAUGGUUGCCUAGUCUAUUCUACUGUUGCUAUUGCUCCUGCUUUGCCACCCUGGGACUUGUGGUCCCUGUCAGGUUGCUGAUGUGA